AAUGAACGUUGGCGGCGUGGAUUAGGCUUGCGAGUCGAGCGAGAACCGUAGCAAUACGGGGACAGCGGCGAAAGGGACAGUAACGGGUAGAUUAUCUGCCCUCAGGUUUGGGAUAGCUGCGGGAAACUGCAAGUAAUACCAAAAAAUAUCUCCGGAUCAAAGGUGUGAUUCCGCCUGAGGAUGAGUCUGCCUCCUAUUAGCUAGUUGGUGGGGUAACGGCCUACCAAGGCGUUGAUUGGUAGCGGGUGUGAGAGCACGACCCGCGUCAUUGGGACUGAGACACUGCCCAGACACCUACGGGUGGCUGCAGUCGAGAAUCUUCGGGAAUGGACGCAAGUCUGACCGAGCGACGCCGCGUGUGGGAUGAAGGCCUUCGGGUUGUGAACCACUGUCAGAGGGGAUGAAAUGCAGGUGGGUUCUCCCAUCUGUUUGACAUAGCCUCAGAGGAAGUACGGGCUAAGUUCGUGCCAGCCGCCGCCGUAA
This 483-nucleotide ribosomal RNA is filed under the name uncultured bacterium. RNAcentral describes it as "partial 16S ribosomal RNA". It matches the Rfam family "Bacterial small subunit ribosomal RNA", at positions 29 to 523 of the family's 1533-position model. The record is from RNAcentral.